UACGGGGGGGGCAAGCGUUGUUCGGAAUUGCUGGGCGUAAAGGGCUCGUAGGUGGCCAACUAAGUCAGACGUGAAAUCCCUCGGCUUAACCGGGGAACUGCGUCUGAUACUGGAUGGCUUGAGUUUGGGAGAGGGAUGCGGAAUUCCAGGUGUAGCGGUGAAAUGCGUAGAUAUCUGGAGGAACACCGGUGGCGAAGGCGGCAUCCUGGACCAAUACUGACGCUGAGGAGCGAAAGCCAGGGGAGCAAACGGG
This 253-nucleotide ribosomal RNA is filed under the name uncultured bacterium. RNAcentral's name for it is "partial 16S ribosomal RNA". It matches the Rfam family "Bacterial small subunit ribosomal RNA", at positions 524 to 776 of the family's 1533-position model. The record is from RNAcentral.